RNAcentral lists this ribosomal RNA (655 nucleotides) under Frigoribacterium sp. Its description in RNAcentral is "bacterial SSU rRNA". It matches the Rfam family "Bacterial small subunit ribosomal RNA", at positions 61 to 729 of the family's 1533-position model. Lineage: Bacteria; Bacillati; Actinomycetota; Actinomycetes; Micrococcales; Microbacteriaceae. The record is from RNAcentral.
GUCGAACGAUGAACUCCAGCUUGCUGGGGGGAUUAGUGGCGAACGGGUGAGUAACACGUGAGUAACCUGCCCUUGACUCUGGGAUAAGCGCUGGAAACGGCGUCUAAUACCGGAUACGAGCUUCAGCCGCAUGGCUAGGAGUUGGAAAGAAUUUCGGUCAAGGAUGGACUCGCGGCCUAUCAGCUAGUUGGUGAGGUAAUGGCUCACCAAGGCGACGACGGGUAGCCGGCCUGAGAGGGUGACCGGCCACACUGGGACUGAGACACGGCCCAGACUCCUACGGGAGGCAGCAGUGGGGAAUAUUGCACAAUGGGCGAAAGCCUGAUGCAGCAACGCCGCGUGAGGGAUGACGGCCUUCGGGUUGUAAACCUCUUUUAGUAGGGAAGAAGCGAAAGUGACGGUACCUGCAGAAAAAGCACCGGCUAACUACGUGCCAGCAGCCGCGGUAAUACGUAGGGUGCAAGCGUUGUCCGGAAUUAUUGGGCGUAAAGAGCUCGUAGGCGGUUUGUCGCGUCUGCUGUGAAAUCUGGGGGCUCACCCCCCAGCCUGCAGUGGGUACGGGCAGACUAGAGUGCGUUAGGGGAGAUUGAAAUUCCUGGUGUAGCGGUGGAAUGCGCAGAUAUCAGGAGGAACACCGAUGGCGAAGGCAGAUCUC